Molecule: ribosomal RNA, 517 nt
Filed under: Limosilactobacillus reuteri
Lineage: Bacteria; Bacillati; Bacillota; Bacilli; Lactobacillales; Lactobacillaceae
Description: bacterial SSU rRNA
Rfam family: Bacterial small subunit ribosomal RNA
Source: RNAcentral
GCGUGAGUGAAGAAGGGGUUUCGGCUCGUAAAGCUCUGUUGUUGGAGAAGAACGUGCGUGAGAGUAACUGUUCACGCAGUGACGGUAUCCAACCAGAAAGUCACGGCUAACUACGUGCCAGCAGCCGCGGUAAUACGUAGGUGGCAAGCGUUAUCCGGAUUUAUUGGGCGUAAAGCGAGCGCAGGCGGUUGCUUAGGUCUGAUGUGAAAGCCUUCGGCUUAACCGAAGAAGUGCAUCGGAAACCGGGCGACUUGAGUGCAGAAGAGGACAGUGGAACUCCAUGUGUAGCGGUGGAAUGCGUAGAUAUAUGGAAGAACACCAGUGGCGAAGGCGGCUGUCUGGUCUGCAACUGACGCUGAGGCUCGAAAGCAUGGGUAGCGAACAGGAUUAGAUACCCUGGUAGUCCAUGCCGUAAACGAUGAGUGCUAGGUGUUUGGAGGGUUUCCGCCCUUCAGUGCCGGAGCUAACGCAUUAAGCACUCCGCCUGGGGGAGUACGACCGCAAGGUUGAAACUCAA